UACAGAGGGUGCGAGCGUUAAUCGGAAUUACUGGGCGUAAAGCGCACGUAGGUGGUUUGCUAAGCCAGCUGUGAAAUCCCCGGGCUCAACCUGGGCACUGCAGUUGGAACUGGCAAGCUAGAGUAGGGUAGAGGGGUGUGGAAUUCCAGGUGUAGCGGUGAAAUGCGUAGAUAUCUGGAGGAACAUCAGUGGCGAAGGCGACACCCUGGACUCAUACUGACACUGAGGUGCGAAAGCGUGGGGAGCAAACAGG
This 253-nucleotide ribosomal RNA is filed under the name uncultured bacterium. Its description in RNAcentral is "partial 16S ribosomal RNA". It matches the Rfam family "Bacterial small subunit ribosomal RNA", at positions 524 to 776 of the family's 1533-position model. The record is from RNAcentral.